This 630-nucleotide ribosomal RNA is filed under the name Porifera sp. FLK003. RNAcentral describes it as "partial large subunit ribosomal RNA". It matches the Rfam family "Eukaryotic large subunit ribosomal RNA", at positions 812 to 1440 of the family's 3401-position model. RNAcentral also lists the same sequence under 1 other name. The record is from RNAcentral. Lineage: Eukaryota; Metazoa; Porifera.
UGACCCGAAAGAUGGUGAACUAUGCCCGAACAGGGUGAAGCCAGGGGAAACCCUGGUGGAAGCCCGAAGCGAUUCUGACGUGCAAAUCGAUCGUCUGAUUUGGGUAUAGGGGCGAAAGACUAAUCGAACCAUCUAGUAGCUGGUUCCCUCCGAAGUUUCCCUCAGGAUAGCUGGAACCCGCCUGUGCAGUUUUAUCAGGUAAAGCGAAUGAUUAGAGGUCUUGGGGUUGAAACAACCUCAACCUAUUCUCAAACUUUAAAUAGGUAAGACGUCCGACUUGCUUGAGUGAAGCCGGACCUCGAAUGCAGGGUUCCUAGUGGGCCAUUUUUGGUAAGCAGAACUGGCGAUGCGGGAUGAACCGAAAGCGGGGUUAAGGUGCCAAAGUCGACGCUCAUCAGACCCCACAAAAGGUGUUGGUUGAUCCAGACAGCAGGACGGUGGCCAUAAAAGUCGGAACCCGCUAAGGAGUGUGUAACAACUCACCUGCCGAAUCAACCAGCCCUGAAAAUGGAUGGCGCUCAAGCGUCGCACCCACACCCCGCCGUCGGGCCGAGCUGGCUGGCCCGACGUGUAGGAGGGCGCAGCGGUGGUGUUGCAGCCUAAGGCGCGAGCCUGGGUCAAACCGCCGUU